Molecule: ribosomal RNA, 497 nt
Filed under: uncultured bacterium
Lineage: Bacteria
Description: partial 16S ribosomal RNA
Rfam family: Bacterial small subunit ribosomal RNA
Source: RNAcentral
GAUGAACGCUGGCGGCGUGCCUAAUACAUGCAAGUCGAGCGAACAGACGAGGAGCUUGCUCCUCUGACGUUAGCGGCGGACGGGUGAGUAACACGUGGAUAACCUACCUAUAAGACUGGGAUAACUUCGGGAAACCGGAGCUAAUACCGGAUAAUAUAUUGAACCGCAUGGUUCAAUAGUGAAAGACGGUUUUGCUGUCACUUAUAGAUGGAUCCGCGCCGCAUUAGCUAGUUGGUAAGGUAACGGCUUACCAAGGCGACGAUGCGUAGCCGACCUGAGAGGGUUAUCGGCCCACCUGGAACUGAGGAACGGUCCAGACUCCUACGGGAGGCCGCAGUAGGGAAUCUUCCGGAAUGGGCCAAAGCCUGACGGAGCAACGGCGCGUGAGUGAUGAAGGUCUUCGGAUCGUAAAACUCUGUUAUUAGGGAAGAACAAAUGUGUAAGUAACUAUGCACGUCUUGACGGUACCUAAUCAGAAAGCCACGGCUAACUACGUG